Molecule: long non-coding RNA, 4424 nt
Filed under: Sus scrofa (pig)
Lineage: Eukaryota; Metazoa; Chordata; Mammalia; Artiodactyla; Suidae
Description: lncRNA (ENSSSCG00000052515.1)
Source: RNAcentral
AAGAAGAAUGCACAGAGCUUUCUGGUUAAGAGUCAGCAGGUGUCCUUUGAGUCAAGAUAUUGCAGACGUGUACACAGCCGAUCUAAAGUUUGUCCUCAAAGACAAGCAGGUUACAGAGGAGAUGAAGUCCUUAAUGAAAUAAUUUAGUGUGACAUAUUGAUAUUGAAGGCUGGAAGGCAGAAAAGGAUUUGCAACAAAAUUAAGGUAUGUCUCUCUUGAAAUGGUUCACCAUUCCUUUCUCUGAGGGCUGAUAUGAGAUUUCAUGAGUGAAACAGCCCAUUUUAUUUCUUUCUCCAAGUUAAUGCCAAAACAGAGAUGCCAAUGUGAAGUUCAAGAACUACAACCACAUGAAAAUCUCAUUGGAAUACAUUAAAAUGUACAUUAGAAAAAAAAAAAAAAAAACUAGGGCACCAGCAGUGAAGGGAAUUAGGCCUGGGGAAUGUUAGUUUUAGAUAGCGGCAAUGGAGGAUGGCUAGAGCUAUUAUCAGAGCAUAAAAACGGCAGCCAAAUUUCAACUCUGAGCAGGGAUAAACAUUGUCACAAGCAUCUGAGUAUAUUAAAAAAAAAAAAAAUCUCUUGCUUGAGAAAAUGAAGAUAAGCCUUUCACGUUCAUGGUACAGUUUCAGCAUUUACACAAGAAGCAAAGACAAUACCCACAAAAAAGCCAUAUUCUGUGGCUGGCAAAGCUAUUUGCUGUCCUAACACAUGGGAAGGAAUCUCACUCAUCAUUGUGGCUUGCUGUGACAGUGAUUCGCAACUGGUGGAAGUGUGCAGAUAGGCAGGGAGGGAGCAUUAAAUGUAUGAGCUACCCCUCCUUCCUAGUUGAGAAUCCAGGGUACAUCAUAAAUCUUUAGGAGAAGAAUCAAAAUAUUGAGGUUAGAGUCCUAGCUCUCUAGCUCUGAAGCCUUGGACAAAUCCAUUAACAACUCCAAAGUUUAGUCUUUUCAACCUGAAACAAUACAUUGCUCUACUUUACAGUUUUCACAAAACAGCAUGCACAGUGGACUGUUUUAAACUGUGAAGCAUGUUGUAAGUUUAAGUUCUUAUUAAUUGACAGAGAUGAAUGUACAUCCUUGGCGCCUAGAUUCUUGCACCCCCUCCCAUCUGCUUAGUCAUUUUCCCUAGAGCUAAAUCUCAACCACCUAUCCUUCUUGUUUGGUUCCAAGCAGAUAAUGUUCCACCAGCUUCUAGACACUAACCUAUCCAGGGCACCUUAUGAGGAGUGGACUUGUCUUCACAAGUCCAUUUUCAAUACGAAUUACAACUGUUGCUCCAGAAAUGGUCCCCCAAAUUCCCAGUGAUGCCUAAAUUCGUUGUAAUCUUUUCUCUUUAAAAAAUAAAAAAUGGAUUAAUUAUAAAACAUAUUGAAUAAUGAGGUCGUGUGAAACUCAUAUAGGUCUGCUCAGGGGCAAUUUUGGAAAGAAAGCUUACAGAAUAUACUUGGCAAUGCUGAGCCCUCCCAUUAAAAAGAAAGACCACACAACACUUGCUAUGAAAAUAUAUUAUGUUUUCUUCAGAGAGCUAACACUUCCUCCUUUGUCCUGGGGGUUCUCCAGCGACUUUAGUGCAUUAUUGCAUGUUACUUUACCUAAAGUUAUUAAAACUCACAGAAAUAGCCAUGCAGUAAUAAAAUGGAAACUAUUAGUAUACCAAUCAAACAGAUAUAGAAACAGUAGUGCUAAGAAAAUAUGACCUGUCUAAAACCUACAAAACACCGGAUAGAUCCAGAAAUAGAAUCUAAGCUGCUGACUCUAAACAUUGGGCAAUACUUCCUCUCUUCAGAAUUAUUAUUGUUAAUAGUCUCUUCACAUAAACAACCUUCUGCUCCUUGAGGAUGGAUGAGAUCAUACAAGCCACCCAUUCUUUCCAUAAGAAAUGAGACAGUUGUGGCCAAUGAGUAAUUCAUAGAAUGUUCUUGCGCCAUGGUGAAAACACACAUGUACACACACACACACACACACACACACACACACACUCACACUCAAAAUCCCAUUCUAGAUUCAGAUUGUUUUGGUUUGUUUUCUGAGAUGGAGUAUGAGUUGAAAUGUUAAUUUCAAGCCUUAGCCCACAAUUUUUGCCUAAAUUUCACACUCUGUCCUUUUCUAUUCCAGCCUGUUCUUCCCUCCCUAAAUCAGAUAAUGAAGAACUAGACCAUGGUAGAAUGGAUUUUUAAUAGAUUUUAUAAUUUAGCUAUUGUCACUUCCACAGAGACUGUUCAUUCAACUAGCAUGUAUUAUGGACAUGAAAUAGAAUUUGGAAGGUUGAAAGUCAUUCAGCCCUGACUAUGAAAAAGUUAUCUGAUAGUUUAAAGUGAUCACAUCAGAAUUACACUUGGUCUUAAAAAGAUGCUGAUAAAAACUACUCUUAAGAAAAAGUACUUGCAAAUAGCAUCUAACUAUAAUAUAGGUGAUUUGGACAAUUUAGAUAGAUUAUGUUUUUCCUGCCAAAGUGCUUCUGAGGAAAGGAGAAUGGAAAAGAUAGUAGUACAGAAAUUGGCUCUUCUCAGACCAGCUGAAGUUAUAGCCAAAAGGCCUUUUGUCCAUGUGUGUAGUUUAAAAGACUGUUGGUGUACACUGGGUUUUAGGUCAGCCUGGCACAGGGGCCAAAAGCAGGUACCAGCUCUGUCUUUACAUAUGAAAGAGGAUAUUCUGGCUACAUUGUUGGUAAACAGCAGUUCCUGAUUCACCCCCCCCUGAGAUCUUUCCAUUACAAUGCUCAUGAAAAUAGGAAAAGAAAUGCAAUUUCAACAACAGUGGAAACUAGGAAUGUUGGUCAAAAAUGUGUCAGGCAAAAGUUGGAGAGUCAACUAAGGAAAGCUGAGCCUGGAGGCAGAAUGGUAAAGCCUUGUGUGUUAAUAAGGUGCGGGAUUUCCAUCGACACAGACUCAUAGAGGCACACGUCCCCCUUUCUGGUUUGUGAGAGCUCCUCAAAUGGAGGAAUUCAAACACACUGUUCCACCCUUUGGCCCCUCUUCAGUCUUUAAUGCAUCUCUCAGCUCAGUAUUCCUCAGGAAUGAAACACUGCCAAGGCCCCAAGGCCAGUGUGGAUGUGGUAACCUUUUAGAUCCAGAUGUUGGAAUAUUUAUUUGACCUAUUUUUUUUUGCAAUGCAUGAAAUAGAGACAACUUUAGGCUGUGCAGGCGAAGACUCUUCCUUUAUGAUAAAAUAAACAGACCUUAAGGCCAUGGAAUUUCUCCUCAGGCUAUGGAUACUAACUAAAGACAAGAUGGCCCAAAACCAGAAGGUUGAUUGGGAUUAUGCACAUAAAGAACUCCUGUAGCUUGAGAUCUAAAAGGAUGAUUCUAACUGGGCCCAUAUAAAAUUGAUUAAUAGCAACAGAUUGAUGAAUACCACUCUUCAAGGACAAGAGCAUAUCUUCUCAAAACAAAUAAGUAUCAUAUGAAGUGAUUCUACCAUUUAAACAUAGAACUAUAGCCCUGGAAGAGAGAAAGAACUUAUUUUGAAAACAUUUCUAAUUUUAAAUAAGCUUUUAAGUUACUGUAUUUAUGUUCAAAAAUUUUAGGAAAAUAAGGUUCCUACACAACAAGCAAAUUGUUAAAUCAUUUUUAAUAUUUUUAUCAUAAAAUUAUUAAAAUAACAGACUGAGAUGAAGAAUGAAUUAGACAACGCAAGAUAGUGGUUGACAUGGGCUGAGAUCAGGGGAUGGGGAGUUGUUUAAUGGGUGCAGAGUUUAAAUUUUGUAAGAUGAAAAGAGUUUUGAAGAUAAGUUUGUUACAUAAUAAUGUGAUCUUAACACUACUAAACUCUAUGCUUAAAAAUGGUUAAGUUGGUGAAUUUUAUGUUACAUAGAUUUUAUCACAAUUAGAAAAUUAAAAAGAAACAUAAUUAGAGAGUUCCCUGGUUGUCUAGUGGUUAAGAUUUGGUGCUCUUACCACUGUGGCCCAAGUUCCAUCCCUGUUCUGGGAACUGAGAUCCCACAAUAAGCAGCUGCCAAAAAUGAAAACAUAAUUAACUGUAAAAGAAAUUAAUAAAUUAGAUGAGGAGCAAGCUAAAUAAACCAUAAAUAAAAAAGCUUACUGUGCAGCUUAUUCAUUGGAUAAGAGCAUGGGCUUUGUACCAAAAAAUAUCUAAUUAUUUGUCCUGGUUCCACUAUUUUUCAAGUCUUUGAUUUUGAAAAAGUUAAUCUCUGAAAGCUUUUUUUUUUUCACCUUUAGAAGAAAUACUAAUAGUACAUCCUUUAUAGGAUUUCUGGAAAAAAAAUUCAUUGAGAUGAUAUAUUCAAAGUGUUUAGAUGGUAUUUGGCAUAUAGUUGAGUGCUCAAUAAGUAUUAAUUAUUAUUAACAUACUCAAAAACUAAAAUGUAAUCACAGAUUAAAAUUAUUAGAAAUAAUAAAGAGCUGUGUCAGCAUUCCAGAAAAUUGAGCUUUAAAUAGUGAAUAAAAACUUGAAUUCUUAUCUCAGAAC